CCGCGUCCCGUGCGGGGGUUUGACAGCCGAGCCCUGCAGCCUGGAAGCAGAUCGGCUGUGGAACGGGGAAUCACCAUCUGCCGGCAGCUUCUCUGGGAAGAGCUCAGCCAGUCUGACGUCACAUACACGACGUUCUUUGGCCCUGAGGGUGAAAAGGCAUGCGUGAUGCUUUGCUCUGUUCCUGCUGUUCCUGCUGCUCCCGGUCCGACCUUUCCCCCCACGCUGCAGAAUCGGUGCCUGCAUUAAAACGGAUCAUCUUAUUUUUAUUUUUCUUUAAGUAGAGAUGAGUUACAAAGAACAAAAUGAAACUGUCUGUGUACAGAAAUUCUGGGCUUCUGUAAGUCACAAGUGAAGCUGUACGUGAUAAUUUACAGCCCAGUAAGAUUCCAUCCCAAUAACUGCAAAACCACUUCAAAAAAAACCCAACAAAACACGAAACCCAAAGACCAUGAAAAACACACACACACACACACACACAGACACGGGUUAAAGUGAAAGAAGGGAACCGAGAACAAAAACAGUGAGAUCAGAGCAGGGCCCGCGCCUUCAGCCGCUGCUCUCUGUGCCUGUCAGUUCCGGAGCCGCCGGCCAGAGCUGCGCAGGACGAGCGGAGCCCAGCGCGUGGCUGCAGCCCUCGUGGAGCCCCGCGGCGGCGGGGCGCGGUGCGCGGGGCCGGGUGUCACAGCCCGGCAUGAGAAGCGCCGGCUCUAAGCGCUCAGAGCCUCGCUCAGCGCUGCCGCCGCUCCGACACAAACCGCGCCGUGCUCGGUGCCCGCGGUGCGCGGCCCGGACGGGACCGCGGCCCAUCCCGGCACGGGGCGCUGGGAGCCGAGGGAGACACUUGGUGGCACCGGGCGGCCCCGGUUCUUAUCGGCAAUGGGUAAUCCUUCCUGUGAGUAGAGCUCCUGCAGCUGGAAUCCUCAUUUUGCUGGAAGCGGACGAGCUUUGCGGGGCUGCCCCUUGUGAUGGCAGGUAAUGUUUGGUCAGACUCUUGCUCGGGGCUGUUUCGGGUGCGGAGUUCCUCGGACGCCGAGUCCUAUGGAUUUCAAUGGGAGCAGGGGCUCCGCCCGUUGGGUUGCUAUUGAAAAAGCCUCAAACUCCGCAGGGUUUGAACGUCGCAAUGCCUUCCAGCGCUUCCCCUGCGGGGCUGCUUCGUGCUGCCCGACUGCCAGGUCAGUUUUGUAGGUCAGAAGGCUUUGGGCUGGUAAAGACUCCUAAUUACAUUAAUGCAGGGGAAAAAGAAAACAAAGCGCUUUUUUUUUUUUUAACCCAGGCUUCUUAAGUAGCUUUUACUUUAUUUUUUUUUGUGGUGAGAUAAAAGCGUAUUUUUGAGAACUGCCAACUACAGAAGAGAAACUUCGCCUCCUUGAUUUUACCGACAGAGCCAACCCAGCAGCAAAGUGUGGAGCAGCAGCAAAGUGAGAGGUCAAAAAGCGUGAGUCAGCCUCAGCAAAGCCCACUUUGUCUUGAAGAGAAAAACAAAGCGCAGAAAAC
Molecule: long non-coding RNA, 1494 nt
Filed under: Numida meleagris (helmeted guineafowl)
Lineage: Eukaryota; Metazoa; Chordata; Aves; Galliformes; Numididae
Description: lncRNA (ENSNMEG00000006922.1)
Source: RNAcentral